This 782-nucleotide ribosomal RNA is filed under the name uncultured Acidobacterium sp. RNAcentral describes it as "bacterial SSU rRNA". It matches the Rfam family "Bacterial small subunit ribosomal RNA", at positions 68 to 851 of the family's 1533-position model. Lineage: Bacteria; Pseudomonadati; Acidobacteriota; Terriglobia; Terriglobales; Acidobacteriaceae. The record is from RNAcentral.
GAGAAAGUGGGGGCAACCCUGCGAGUACAGUGGCAGACGGGUGAGUAACACGUGAACAACCUACCCUUGAGUGGGGAAUAACACCGCGAAAGCGGUGCUAAUACCGCAUAAAAUCUUAAGGUCGCAUGGCUUUAAGAUCAAAAGCGCAAGUUGCUUGAGGAGGGGUUCGCGUCUGAUUAGCUAGUUGGUGAGGUAACGGCCCACCAAGGCAACGAUCAGUAGCCGGCCUGAGAGGGUGAACGGCCACACUGGAACUGAGACACGGUCCAGACUCCUACGGGAGGCAGCAGUGGGGAAUUUUGCGCAAUGGGCGAAAGCCUGACGCAGCAACGCCGCGUGGAGGAUGAAGGCCUUCGGGUCGUAAACUCCUGUCGAUGGGGACGAAAGCCUGCAAAGGUUUGACUGUACCCGUUGAGGAAGCCACGGCUAACUCCGUGCCAGCAGCCGCGGUAAUACGGAGGUGGCAAGCGUUGUUCGGAAUUACUGGGCGUAAAGGGCGCGUAGGCGGCAAAACAAGUCAGAUGUGAAAGCCCCGGGCUUAACCCGGGAAUUGCAUCUGAAACUGAUUUGCUUGAGUUCUGGAGGGGGUAGUGGAAUUCCCAGUGUAGCGGUGAAAUGCGUAGAUAUUGGGAGGAACACCUGCGGCGAAGGCGGCUACCUGGACAGUAACUGACGCUGAGGCGCGAAAGCUAGGGGAGCGAACAGGAUUAGAUACCCUGGUAGUCCUAGCUGUAAACGAUGGGCACUUGGUGUUGGGGGUAUUGAGUCCCCCGGUGCCGGAG